This 400-nucleotide ribosomal RNA is filed under the name uncultured bacterium. RNAcentral's name for it is "bacterial SSU rRNA". It matches the Rfam family "Bacterial small subunit ribosomal RNA", at positions 355 to 771 of the family's 1533-position model. The record is from RNAcentral.
UGGGGAAUAUUGGACAAUGGGCGAAAGCCUGAUCCAGCGACGCCGCGUGAAGGAAGACGGUCUUCGGAUUGUAAACUUCAGUGAGCAGGGACGAGAAAGGACGGUACCUGCAGAGCAAGCCACGGCUAACUACGUGCCAGCAGCCGCGGUAAUACGUAGGUGGCGAGCGUUAUCCGGAAUUACUGGGUGUAAAGGGUGAGUAGGCGGGGAUGCAAGUCAGGUGUGAAAUGCAGGGGCUUAACCUCUGAGCUGCACUUGAAACUGCGUUUCUUGAGAGUCGGAGGGGUAAUCGGAAUUCCCGGUGUAGCGGUGAAAUGCGCAGAGAUCGGGAGGAACACCAGUGGCGAAGGCGGAUUACUGGACGACAACUGACGCUGAGACACGAAAGCGUGGGGAGCAA